RNAcentral lists this ribosomal RNA (449 nucleotides) under uncultured bacterium. RNAcentral's name for it is "partial 16S ribosomal RNA". It matches the Rfam family "Bacterial small subunit ribosomal RNA", at positions 29 to 523 of the family's 1533-position model. The record is from RNAcentral.
AACGAACGCUGGCGGCAGGCUUAACACAUGCAAGUCGAACGAGAUCUUCGGAUCUAGUGGCAGACGGGUGAGGAACACGUGGGAACAUCCCUUUCAGUUCGGAAUAACGUUGGGAAACUAACGCUAAUACCGGAUACGUCCUUCGGGAGAAAGAUUUAUCGCUGAAAGAUUGGCCCGCGUCUGAUUAGCUAGUUGGUGAGGUAAUGGCUCACCAAGGCUACGAUCAGUAGCUGAUCUGAGAGGAUGAUCAGCCACAUUGGGACUGAGACACGGCCCAAACUCCUACGGGAGGCAGCAGUGGGGAAUAUUGGACAAUGGGUGCAAGCCUGAUCCAGCCAUGCCGCGUGAGUGAUGAAGGCCUUCGGGUUGUAAAGCUCUUUUAUCCGGGAAGAUAAUGACUGUACCGGAAGAAUAAGCCCCGGCAAACUUCGUGCCAGCAGCCGCCGCUG